AAUACAUCGGAAUCUACCUUUUCGUGGGGGAUAACGUAGGGAAACUUACGCUAAUACCGCAUACGACCUUAGGGUGAAAGCGGAGGACCUUCGGGCUUCGCGCGGAUAGAUGAGCCGAUGUCGGAUUAGCUUGUUGGCGGGGUAAAAGCCCACCAAGGCGACGAUCCGUAGCUGGUCUGAGAGGAUGAUCAGCCACACUGGAACUGAGACACGGUCCAGACUCCUACGGGAGGCAGCAGUGGGGAAUAUUGGACAAUGGGCGCAAGCCUGAUCCAGCCAUACCGCGUGAGUGAAGAAGGCCUUCGGGUUGUAAAGCUCUUUUGUUGGGAAAGAAA
Molecule: ribosomal RNA, 335 nt
Filed under: grassland soil bacterium TSA-16
Lineage: Bacteria
Description: bacterial SSU rRNA
Rfam family: Bacterial small subunit ribosomal RNA
Source: RNAcentral